UUUUUUUUUUUCACACAGAUGGGUUUUCUCAGUUCCAGUUGAGUGAUUAUAUGUGUGUUACUGCCUUAGCCUGUCCUGUUGUGUGCGUCCAUUAAAAUGUAAGUAAGCAAUGUACAUUCUUCUUUUCUAAUGAUCAUUUUUAUUCUUCUUAUUCUGUUCUCCAUCACUCCUCUUGCUUACUAACCUUAAUUAAGAGUAAGUGAAGAAUUGUAAAGCUUGCUUCCACCUGUGCAGAGCUGCAAUGUUUAAUGUUACUAUGUUCAUAGUGACUAUUUGAUAUUUACUUUUUAAAGUUUAUUGUGCUAUUACAAACUUAUUCACAUAAAACUCUGUAUCAUUUGAAUUUGUUUUCUUUACCCAAAUACUUGUGAGUCAAAAAAAUCAUGAUUUUUCAUAUUGAAUUCAGCCUCCUUUGUUGGAUAAGAGGAUUCUGUGUUUUAAUAUUAUCUGGAGAACAUUGCCUCACAGUUUCAUAUUGUGGCAAAGAUUUGCAUCCUUUUCGCGUGGUGCUUUUAACCAGGUUGUCUGCAUUUUAUUUGUUCUAUAUCUUUCAUUUCUCUUCCUUUUUGGAAAGCAAACUUAUGCAAACCUACAAACAGAAAAAGACAUCUCUCCUGCACACCCUGUAAAGACUGUUAAACAAUAAAGUUCUCUUCACAGAAGCUUCUGGACUAUCGGUGACUUAAUUUGUCACUUUAGUUUUGGUUUGCUCUUUGUCACACUAUCUGUGGUAACCAACGUACCACGUGUGGCUGACUGUUCUGAAAGUGUGACUGCAGUUCCCAGUGUUGUUUAGAUUCAAGUUUUCACAUGCAAUUACAACAGAGAGGAGAACAUAUUUGUUCAUAUGUGGUAAAUAUUUCUUAAGAUCAGUUCAGUACAGCAGCCUGUCUCAGUUCUCUUUGUGUUGGCAAGGAAAGUGAAUCACUUUAUUUCCUGCCCCUGUGAAAAUACCCUGCCUAUAUCAUCUCCCGUUUACUGUUUCCUGUCAGUUAGGGCUGAGGUUCACAGCAGAUUUACACCCGGAUGUGUCCAAAAUUUUCUAGAUUCAUUUUAAAACAUUAAAACCACAGCGUGGGUGAAUAAAAAGCAUGGAGCAGUUUCUUAUUCUUGUGCUAAUGGCAGCGGGAACUCAUGCUCUGGUUCCAGUUGAUGAGACUACUUGUGACCUCAGGACGAGCACAUGUCCAUGCUCUCCUCUUCUUGAAGAAACUGUAUAUAUCCAAGUGAUGACUGAUGCUAAUGGCUGUCAACUGCAGUGUUCGAAGGUGCUUCCCACUGAGACAAAAACUGUGUUCAAUAUGAAGAAAGGAAAAACAACAACAACAGACAAGGAAUUUAACAACAGACUAACAUUUAUAAUCAACAACGGGACAAUCAAGAUCACAAACGUGAGGAGGAGUGACUCAGGUCAAUACAGCAUUGAGGUCUUUAAUUCAAAUGGAGUCCAAGAGAAAAACAUUAAUUUCACCCUGGAUGUUAAAGGCAAUGGAAACUUUGAAGGCAAGGCACUCUGGAACUUCGAAGCAGACAAGUGUCUUUACCUGGUCAUAGCCUGUUGUGUACUGGCAUUUCUCCUGAUAGCAGUGUCAUGCUGUUUUGCGUGUAGAGAAAUUAACCAUCGUAAACAAGGUUCACGUGCUCCUGUACUUUAAGCAACAAGAUGACUGAGCUGACCUCAAAAAGAAAUCAGGAGGUGACUGUGAUAUUUUCAUUUUAUACUUGUACAUACUGAAAAAGACUUGUUGGGGUUUUGUCUGUAAGGGUUUUUGUAUGGUCUUUACUGUACAAUAUAUUGCACAUUGAAGCAACUGUAAUUGUGAUUUGGUGAAAUAUAAAUAAAACAGAAUGGAAAUUGAUCCAAAAAAUUUAUGUAGAUGAUUAAAAUGUUCAUUUCUAAAGCCUGUCUGAAGCCUGAUUAUGCAACACUAAAGUAAAAAAAAUAAAUAAAUAAAUCAAAAUUUCAAUGUAAUUUUUUUUAUGUAUAGCAUUAGCUAGAAAUAUAAUAAAAGGUAUAUUAAACCUUUUGAUUUCUUAAAGUUUUUUUUAAAUUUGUCAUUUAACUCAUAUGUUUCUUUCACUGAAUAAACAUGUGAUAAAAAAAAUUAAUAGUUUAAAAGCUAAAACUGUUAUAACUGACAGGACUGUAUGUGACUGUAGGCAAAUGGGGCAGGAUAAAAUCAAAAGAAAUAACAGAUCAAAAUGAGAUUUUGUGGAAGAUGCUGCAGGCAUGCCUGUGGUUUGUAUGUUGACAUGUUUCACUUCCUUCAAACUGUAGUAACUGUUUACAAUGAAAAUCACUCCUUGUAUGGCAAAACUUAACAUGGAAUCUCAGAACACGGAACUGCAGAAAAUAUAUCAAAAAUCUGAAGUGCUGAGAUUCCAGUUUUUUGAUUGCUGCAACACUUCAUGUCAGCACAGUGGCCUUUAAAUAAAGUAAAUAAAA
This is a long non-coding RNA of Astatotilapia calliptera (eastern happy), 2446 nucleotides long. The record is from Ensembl. NCBI's taxonomy places the organism in Eukaryota, Metazoa, Chordata, Actinopteri, Cichliformes, Cichlidae.